AGGGGUUCAAAUUUGUGUGUAAUUGAUUCACAGACCUGAGCUAAUUUCCCUAAUUCCUCCUAUGAUUACUGCAGUAAGAUGUUCUUACUCCAGAGGAUGCUACACACCACAGGACUUUCAUCAGUCAAUAAGACGACUCCACAUCACACAACUUCAUAAAUCUCAAUCUUUUGAAAGAGCUCUAAGUAUUUUGAGCCUUAAAAGUACCUCCAGAGUGCACCAUAGAGCAGACAGCUCAGUAUUAAAGGGAUGAUGACACCUGAUCAUCCAUCUUCAUACCCCUCUCAUGAGGAGGAGGAGGAGCAUGUGUCUGUGUGGAUGCAUUUGUGAUUUGCAGGAGACCUGAAGUUUCUCCCAAAUGCUGCACUGCUGUCAUCAGUAGGAGGAGGCUGAACAGGAAGGUGGGGAAAGUUCUCCAGCUGUCAUGUUUGCAAAAUGGUGAAAUCAUGUCAAGGUGGGCAGGGUUUGGCUGUGCACAGUGGGUUAGGUCAGCUCUUUGAUGCUGUCCUGAGCCUGUGUACACUGGGUCAACAAUCUUCAAGUUCAGAGCUAGGGCUUUGUGUUAGGAUACAAAAUCUUAUCAGAUAUUAAAGUAUUUAAACCAAAAAUCUUUCUUACUUUUUCCCAUCCAGGACUUCAUUACCUGGAAAUCUCUCAUUCAUACCUUACUUAUAUUAAAAAUAAUUUUCUCUUCCUUGAAUAGUGACAGGUCAGUAUAAAUGUUCUAGUGAUGUUAUUCACUAGACAAUAAACAUCAGUCUAGCUGAGAUGAGCUAAUGUUGCUUAAAAAGCAACAAAUCUGAACAAGCCUGCCUAUCUGCAUUGCAACCAUCCAAUUUAAAUGUAUACAGGCCUCACUUUAAACACAUUUUUUCAAGUACUGUUUCAGUGCCUUUCUGGCUAUUUAAUUCAGAUGGAAUUUAUGAUGUAAUUUUUUAAAACUGUGUUUUCCUGCUUAACAUGUUUAUCACUGUGAAACUGAUUUUUGCCUUUGGAGAGGACCAGCAUGUGUGUUGUACAUUGACAUGAGACAUACAAAGCAACCCUGCGAAGGAACUGAAGUCUGCUUAAUGCAGCUCUCCACAUUGCAAGGCUGCCCAGUCUCAAUAGACCACAGUGAGAGAGGAUACCUUGAAAAUGUGUAUGAUGAGAUUCUAUUAAGUUCAAGGACAUUAGGAAGAAUGGGAGAUUUUAAAAGAGGAUGUUUUUCCUGAUGCUUAUUUCCAGCAUGAUGAGAAGAGUCUUUUCAGAAUUAAAUGCCCCCACUGUGACUCACUUGAAUACAGUGAAAGCUGAGAAGUGGAAGAAUGCAACCAAAUGAAAGAAGCUUAAAAACACAAGGCAAACACAAAUUAAUGCAAAAUCCAAUGUUUCUUGAUAAUAAAAGUCAAGGGAUGCGUUAGACUACUGAAAGCACCAAGUCAAGCCUUAGCAGAUGGAUUUUAUUUCAUUCCAGUGUUCAGUUGCACAGAGUGCUGUAGUCUUACAGCAGGUAGCCUGUUACAGAGAUGACAGGGAAAAAAAGCUUAGGUGGAGGAGUGGGGAUUCCU
Molecule: long non-coding RNA, 1550 nt
Organism: Passer domesticus (house sparrow)
Lineage: Eukaryota; Metazoa; Chordata; Aves; Passeriformes; Passeridae
Exons: 3
Source: RefSeq, a predicted model, not a curated record